AGAGUUUGAUCAUGGCUCAGAUUGAACGCUGGCGGCAUGCCUUACACAUGCAAGUCGAACGGUAACAGGUCUUCGGAUGCUGACGAGUGGCGAACGGGUGAGUAAUACAUCGGAACGUGCCCGAUCGUGGGGGAUAACGAGGCGAAAGCUUUGCUAAUACCGCAUACGAUCUACGGAUGAAAGCGGGGGAUCUUCGGACCUCGCGCGGACGGAGCGGCCGAUGGCAGAUUAGGUAGUUGGUGGGAUAAAAGCUUACCAAGCCGACGAUCUGUAGCUGGUCUGAGAGGAUGAUCAGCCACACUGGGACUGAGACACGGCCCAGACUCCUACGGGAGGCAGCAGUGGGGAAUUUUGGACAAUGGGCGAAAGCCUGAUCCAGCCAUGCCGCGUGCAGGAUGAAGGCCUUCGGGUUGUAAACUGCUUUUGUACGGAGCGAAAAGCCUCUUUCUAAUAAAGAGGGGUCAUGACGGUACCGUAAGAAUAAGCACCGGCUAACUACGUGCCAGCAGCCGCGGUAAUACGUAGGGUGCAAGCGUUAAUCGGAAUUACUGGGCGUAAAGCGUGCGCAGGCGGUUUUGUAAGACAGAGGUGAAAUCCCCGGGCUCAACCUGGGAACUGCCUUUGUGACUGCAAGGCUGGAGUGCGGCAGAGGGGGAUGGAAUUCCGCGUGUAGCAGUGAAAUGCGUAGAUAUGCGGAGGAACACCGAUGGCGAAGACAAUCCCCUGGGCCUGCACUGACGCUCAUGCACGAAAGCGUGGGGAGCAAACAGGAUUAGAUACCCCGGUAGUCCAA
Molecule: ribosomal RNA, 793 nt
Filed under: uncultured bacterium
Lineage: Bacteria
Description: bacterial SSU rRNA
Rfam family: Bacterial small subunit ribosomal RNA
Source: RNAcentral